This 305-nucleotide ribosomal RNA is filed under the name uncultured bacterium. RNAcentral describes it as "bacterial SSU rRNA". It matches the Rfam family "Bacterial small subunit ribosomal RNA", at positions 333 to 652 of the family's 1533-position model. The record is from RNAcentral.
GGGCUCCUACGGGGGGCAGCAGUGGGGAAUAUUGGGCAAUGGGCGCAAGCCUGACCCAGCAACGCCGCGUGAAGGAAGAAGGCUUUCGGGGUGUAAACUUCUUUUCUCAGGGACGAAGCAAGUGACGGUACCUGAGGAAUAAGCCACGGCUAACUACGUGCCAGCAGCCGCGGUAAUACGUAGGUGGCAAGCGUUAUCCGGAUUUACUGGGUGUAAAGGGCGUGUAGGCGGGAAAGCAAGUCAGAUGUGAAAACCACGGGCUCAACCUGGGGCCUGCAUUUGAAACUGUUUUUCUUAAGUACGGG